This 799-nucleotide long non-coding RNA is filed under the name Oryctolagus cuniculus (rabbit). RNAcentral's name for it is "lncRNA (ENSOCUG00000033103.1)". The record is from RNAcentral. Lineage: Eukaryota; Metazoa; Chordata; Mammalia; Lagomorpha; Leporidae.
CUAUUGCUCAAGAAAUUAUAAGGAUUUUAGGAGUUUUAUGUAGGAAAUGAGGGCAGAAACCAAAUAUAUAUCUUGUAUUAUGUCACAGAUAGCAUAAUAUUUUCCUCAUCUUUGUCAAAAUGGGACUCGGCAAGUAUGAGAACAGGUGUUUCAAUUAUGGUCUCAUCCAGCAUUCUUGGUUCUUGAUGGACAAUUGUACAUAAUAUCUUUAUUUGUUUUCUUUUUCUCUUGCAAUCUAGUUCUCAGCAGGAAAUUUACUGAGCUGCCAACUUGUGAUCAUCUAAUUGACUCAGAAAGAAUCUGAAUGAGUUUCUAAAUAUCCAACUGAAAUCAAUUGUGACUCUCUUUAUUUUAGGCUCCAGGCAGAUUGAAAUUGAGACAAUAAACGGAAGCACCGCAUUCUGAAAGAAUGAGAGUUGGCAACCUAGCAGCAAACAUCACAUAUGUAUGCUCAUAUACACCCAUGGAGAAAUUUAACCAAAGAUAUGAGAUGCUAUUUAGUACUCUUGCAAAGACAUGAACAUUUUUCUUGAAAUACAGUGGACAUAAAAAAUUCUGGAGGGUAAGUAGACUUGUAGACUCAAACUACAUCUGAAUGGCAUCCACUCAUUCAACAAAUAUUUACCAGUAUCUCCUGUAUAGUAGGCACUGGAAAUACAAGAUACAAAAAUUUUUGCCCUAAUCAUAAUGAACUUUCAGUAGAAAGCAUUAAAACUUUUAAGAGAUGAUUUUAGUAUGGUGCAUCAGAGAACCAAAUAGUUACUUCUAUGCUGGUACAGCUGAAGGCUUCCAAAACAUG